CCUACGGGUGGCAGCAGUGAGGAAUAUUGGUCAAUGGGCGCGAGCCUGAACCAGCGAAGUAGCGUGAAGGAUGACUGACCUACGGGGUGUAAACUGUUUUGAUAAAGGAAUAAAGUGAGGAACGGGUGCCAUGAUGGAUGUCAUUAAUGAAUCAGGAACGGUGAACUCCGUGCAAGGAGCCUCGGUAAUACGGAGGAUCCGAGGGUUAUCCGGAUUUAUUGGGUGAAAGGGGAGAGUGGGCGGAGGUGCAAGGCAGCGGUCAAAUUGCGGGGCUCAACCCCGUACUGCCGUUGAAACUGCAUCCCUUGAGUGCGCGAGAGGUAUGCGGAAUGCGUGGUGUAGCGGUGAAAUGCAUAGAUAUCACGCAGAACUCCGAGUGCGAAGGCAGCAUACCGGCGCGCAACUGACGCUCAUGCACGAAAGCGUGGGUAUCGAACAGGAUUAGAUACCCUUGUAGUU
RNAcentral lists this ribosomal RNA (459 nucleotides) under uncultured bacterium. Its description in RNAcentral is "partial 16S ribosomal RNA". It matches the Rfam family "Bacterial small subunit ribosomal RNA", at positions 338 to 795 of the family's 1533-position model. The record is from RNAcentral.